GAUGAACGCUGGCGGCGUGCCUAAUACAUGCAAGUUGAGCGCUGAAGCUUGGUGCUUGUACCAAUUGGAUGAGCAGCGGACGGGUGAGUAACGCGUGGGGAAUCUGCCUUUUAGCGGGGGACAACAUCUGGAAACGAAUGCUACUACCGCAUAAUAACUUUAAACACAAGAUUCAAGUUUGAAAGAUGCAUUUGCAUCACUCAAAGAUGAUCCCGCGUUGUAUUAGCUAGGUGGUGAGGUAAAGGCCCACCAAAGCGAAGAUACAUAGCCGACCUGGGAGGGUGGACGGCCAAAAUUGGAAUUGGACACGGGUCAAGCUCCUACCGGGAGGAGCAGGAGGGGAUCAUCGGCAAAUGGCGGAAGGCCGGACGAAGCAAGCCGGGGGGGGGGAGGAGGGUUUCGGGUUGGAAAACUCUGUUGGUAGGGAAGGAAGAUGGUGAGAGUGGAAAGCUCAUGAAGUGACGGUACCUACCCAGAAAGCGACGGCUAACUACGUG
This 497-nucleotide ribosomal RNA is filed under the name uncultured bacterium. RNAcentral describes it as "partial 16S ribosomal RNA". It matches the Rfam family "Bacterial small subunit ribosomal RNA", at positions 28 to 507 of the family's 1533-position model. The record is from RNAcentral.